This is a long non-coding RNA of Stegodyphus dumicola, 2843 nucleotides long. Lineage: Eukaryota; Metazoa; Arthropoda; Arachnida; Araneae; Eresidae. The record is from RefSeq and is a predicted model, not a curated record.
UCUAGAUCAGUAGAAUUGUUAACAUAUUUGCAAUCUUUUACCAUUUUUCUUAAAUACUAGUCUUAUGUAAUGGGUUUGAAGUGAAUGUAGUAGUUGGCCUAAUUUUAAAUACACUCAAAACAUCUAAUUUAGAAACUAAUUUAAGCUCGAUGAGAUUUUCCAAAUGUUUGUUUCAGUUUUCUUAUAUUUCACGCUUUAGUUCUCCAGAUUUUCAAAGUGGCAAAAUGUACAUUGCAUUAUGGUAAAAAUGUAUAUUCCUUAUAUUUGUGUAAUAUUUUUACAAAAUUAAUUUUGAUUUAAAAUGAAUUUAAAAUACCCUUGAAUUCAAAGACUUAGUUUAGUUCUCUCCCCCCCUCAGGUUUUAAGAUUUUAGUUGUUAUGUCUGUAAGAAUGACUAAAUCAUAGAACCAAUUAUGGUCAAUAAUUUCUUCAUAAGUUUCGUUUCUGGAUUUUUAAAAUUCUUCUAUGAAACUUUUGUAACAGAAGCUGGGAUGGAACCCAGGCAGCCAGACAGAAUGUCCCUUCCCUGAGUGAAAAUUUCUAUCAUUUCACUGAAAGUGACAUUAUAAUAUUUCAGAAUAAACCCUCGUAACACUAAUAAAUUGUAAUUUGUCAUCAUUUUUGUGCACUCUUGGAUUGCAGAACAUGAUAUCAUGAAAGAAAAAGAACGGAGAAAUAGUGCAGAGCAAAAAGACAUCUGUGGCUGUGUAAUUUGUCAUCAUUUUUGUGCACUCUUGGAUUGCAGAACAUGAUAUCAUGAAAGAAAAAGAACGGAGAAAUAGUGCAGAGCAAAAAGACAUCUGUGGCUGUGUAAUUUGUCAUCAUUUUUGUGCACUCUUGGAUUGCAGAACAUGAUAUCAUGAAAGAAAAAGAACGGAGAAAUAGUGCAGAGCAAAAAGACAUCUGUGGCUGGUGAUGUCAUGAUAGUUAAACUCAGUCCACAGGAUUCAUGUAAUGAUGAACAUUUCAGUCCUAUACACACGCAACAUCCACAGCUAUUUUAGAUAAUAUGAUCAGCUUGGCUACGUGGAACUUAAAUAUCAAAGGAAACUGUCUGUUUCCACCAACUCUUGGAGGAUUUACAAGCCGUGUGCUUGCCUCCGCUCGUCUCCAAGUCUGGACGCUCUGUCGCUUUGGUCUCCACUGCUCCGCACUGUGCUAAGCUGGGAUGACGUUGUUAUGUAUCUUAAAAUUAUGUGGGGUUUCAUUACCUUUUUAAACUUUAACUUAACUGACUGUGUGUGCCGGACAAAAUACUCAAAUAUCAAAUAAUUCAAAACAUAUUCAUACUAUUCAUCAUUCAUAUAUCAUAUAAAAAAAAUCUUAUAUACAUUCGUAUAACAUAUCGAACAAUCAAUUGUAUAGUGGUAGUACAAUUUAACUUUUAGGUUUGCGUUGUGAGUAACUUAUGCAAAGGAAAAAUCAAUGACCCCAAAUUCAGUUAAACUCCAUGUUUCUUAAAAGCCUCCCGGCUCAAACAAAUGGAGGGACAUGACAGGCCACAGUAUAUUACAAGAUAAAUACACAAACACAAUUAAAUUUUAAACACAUUUAUUAAAUUCUUGAAUAUAUUAAUAGUAAAUAUUUGGGUAACUGAUCAGCAUCCCCUAUCACAUAUUUUUACUAUGAAAAUAUCGCAUCUGUUACACAAAAAUUCAGCUUUCAACAAUUAAAAGUUAAAUUUUUUUUUUCAAAUUAAGUAGGUGUAACAAAAUUUAAUCUUCCAAAUAAACAUGUUCUCAUUAAUUAGAAAGUAACGUUUUUCUAGCUCACAAAAUUCAGUAGGUGAAACAAAUUUUAAUCCUCCUAAAACUGGCAUUCACUUGAAAUUAUAAAUAACUUCUCAAUUUUACUAACUGUAAUAUUUAAUUUAUAUAAGUAAUAACAAUAUAAAGGUAGAUAAAUCAUUAUUAACUGUUCUGCAUUUGGGAAAACAAAGAGAGAGAGAGAAAAAAUAUACUUAAAAAUUUCACUCACAGAUGGAAACAGUUUUUGCUGAUAGCAGGAUCCUUAGUGUCCAAUCCACAUGGAAAAGAGCCAAGCCCAUUUUUCUUUCUGUAACAACCUUUUCUGAAGUGUCUAAAAAUCAUUAGGAAUCACGAGUGGAAAUUACAGUCUAAUAAUUCUUCAAACAGCCAGGAAUCGCUUUAUCUGUCCAUUAGGUGGGAACCAAUAGUCCAAUUUUGAAGGAUCUUUAUUUCAAUUCAAUAACAGAUAGCUGAAUAUACACAAGUUUUAGAGCGAUCACUUGUAUCAUCGAAGCGGCGAAUCAACAUUUUAUGCUGAAUAUUUCGGAAAAAGGCUCUUGGAGAUAAACCUGCGAUUCCGGUGAAGAGAGAAAAUCUGUGCUAAAUUUUCUUGGUAGAUUGCUCUAUAUCUGCACUAAAGUAUUAACCAGCUCUCAGUAAAAUGCUCUUUGCAGCUAGCGCACGUUUCUUUAGACAUCUCGCAGGAAAAGGUUCCUUGCAUCUCUCACACAAAACUUUUAAACAUCUGGCAGAAAAGAAGGAAUCCACUAGAGCAAAGGAAAACGCAGCCCAAGUCCUCUUGCCCCGGCAACUGGCUGCACGGCAAAGCUGGCAGCAGGGCAAACGCCCCUCGUUCGCUUUUUUUUUUCACAUCGCCGCUGCUCAAAAUCACCAACAGGCACUCGCGAGAACAAGACCGCACACUCUUUUUCUCCUUUUUCCUUCUCUUAGCUCAAAAAUCAGAAUCAGGAAUAAUUUCUAGCCUGGUGCAAGCACCCAGGAAAUCUCGGUUUCUCCGCCUCUGUGAGUUCAUAGGCUUUCAAAAAAUCAUAAAAUUAAAUCUUACCAAUCCCGGAAUUUUAUGUUAUCUAAAUU